This is an RNA transcript of Zophobas morio, 2313 nucleotides long. It is a transcript of the gene named RNA-binding motif protein, X chromosome-like, with no coding region annotated. NCBI's taxonomy places the organism in Eukaryota, Metazoa, Arthropoda, Insecta, Coleoptera, Tenebrionidae. The record is from RefSeq and is a predicted model, not a curated record. The transcript has 13 exons.
GCCGUGGUUCGUACUGUCUCGCCUUUGUUGUUCUGUACCGUAAAAAAAUGAAUGAAGAAGGCAUGGAAACGAAGCAAGAUUAUGAAGAUGUAAGAGGUCUUUCACCCGAAGAUGGUGUUUCUCUUAGGAAUCUUGAAUCUCACGACAAAGAUAUAUUAGAUAAACAGAAGCCCAUGAAAACGGAUUUAACAAACAAGAGCAGAGGGAGACUUUAUAGAAGUCGAAGCCGUGAUGGCAGUUACAGCGACCUUAGCGGUGACGACGAUCGACGAAGAAGAGACAGAAGAAGGGAUAGUAGUUAUAAGUACAAGGAAGGACAUUACAGUUCUAGAUAUAGAGACGAUAGAGAUAAAGUAAGAUUUCAUCAAGGCAGAAGCUCCGAAAGGCAAUCUUUUGAUCGAGUAAGUCCGGCUGAAAAUCCUGGGACCGUUUUAUAUGUAGGCCAGCUUUACUUCAAAGUUUCUGACAAAUCACUUGAAGAGUUAUUUAAACCGUAUGGAAAGGUGCUCUCGUCUGUAAUUCAAAGGGACAGGCAAACAAACGAUAGUUUACGUUAUGGUUUUGUGACUAUGGAAAGUUCUAAAGAUGCCGAAGUGGCUAUAAAAGCUCUUAAUGGCUCUACACCUGAGGGUUUUGCUGUCAAGCCUCUUAUUGUGGAAUUAGCCAAGAGAUCUCAUGGCCACGAAGCAACACCAGGCACAUACAGAGGCCACAGGACUUCUGGUGCGUCUAGCAGGUAUCCCAGACCAUCUUUUCACCGGCCCAUGCCAAUGCACAGAGAUUUGGUUUACCGGGGACGUUAUGGCGAACCUUAUUAUAGAGAUGACUACAGAAUCUAUCCUGAAUUAUACAGUCGGAGGCAGCACGAUUAUGACUUCCGGAGGGCGGAUAUGGCCCUCGACAGAAAUCGUCGAGAUCCUGUUGACAGGCGCAGAUUUGAUGGCCGUCCUGUUGUUCUUCCAGGGAGACACUCGCACUAUGACAUGCUUAGGGGCGACUUUCCGCCUGAUCGCUCCUACAUGAGAGACAGGGAGAGGCGUGGUUUUUAUGAAGACAGAUACCUUAAACAUGAUGGACCACCGCGGGAUUAUUACUACGACGAUAUGAGACUCUCUAACCCCCACAGUUUGGGAAGGAUCCCGCCACCGCUACCUCAACGUCGCUACGAUACAAGCGAGAGGCGACGCGCGUGACACCCUCCUGCACUCGCUUAGUACACUCGUUGUUUGGCCCCUGCAUAUAAUAAAAUGGACGCCCGUUCAUCCACAACAACUUCUUGAGAACCCUUUUUAUUACUUCUGUGCACGCGUCCGUUGCAGUGUAUGCCAGCGAUGAAGCAGCUUUUUUUAUCGAGUUGAUGAGCUUUAAAUUUUUAUUGAAGUAUUUGGAUGGCUAUUUUGUAGCGCAUUUCGCGAGGAGUUUUUGUAAUACCCUACCAGAACGCAUUUCUGGUGUAUUCCCAGCAUAUUACUGUAUAUUUUCUUUGCAGAAUUUAUAAGACCCUAUUUUGCCUACUGGAUUAGCAGCUGCACUGCCUCGGGAUGGCUAGAGAAUGAUUGGAUGACUAUUCAAGAGUUUUCCCUACUUACAUCCUUAUGUUUGUUCAAAUGGCACUAUUCAUCUUCUAGUAGUUUUCCUCUUAUUUUAGACCUUUUUUCAACUUUUCAGUGCCCUCUAGAAUGUUGGCAGUAUUCUUCGUAGGAGUUCCUGCGUUAUAUUUAAAUAUGAACAUGAGACUGUUAAGCUUCAGAGUCGACCUUAUAUAACUAUAACUGACGAACUCUAUUCUAAGUUACAAUUAGCUAUGCAUCUUUAAGUGUGUACCGUUUAGCUUCAAAGAGUUUGCCCGUAAAAUUUACUUAUAGCAAUAUGGAGCAUCCAGUUAUUUUACUGUGCCUUCUUCUUUCAAGUCGUUUUAGAGCUAAAAGUCGAGGGAUCUUUUUACUUCAGAAUUGUUGAACAAAUGGUAGUUCAUAGAGCGUCUCUUUUCUCAGCUUCAACCUUCAGAAUUUUUCAGUUCUUUUAGAGUAAAGACAAUACUUUGCGCGUUUUUUAUCAAAAUAAGUAAAUACCAAAGUCUGCACUCCGGCACGCUUUAUUUUAAAUAGCCUUAUGAAUAAGGAUCCUGUUGCAACUUUGAAUACAUUAAGUUGAGAACUUUACAAAAGAGCAAACUUCUCUUGAAAAGUUUAGUUACCGCCUUUUAAGUUGAUUCGCAUCUUGCGUAAGGAAUUGUGGAAGGACAUGAAGUCGUUAUCACGAGUUAGAGCUUAAAGGAAUUGAGUUGACAAUAAGAAUGUAAUUGUAAGUUAG